GCUGGAGGUGCUGGGAUUGGAGAUUGAGCAGUGCGUUGUCAGCUGUUUCGGUGACUUCGCCAUGCAGGCAUCCUGCUCACAAGAGGAAGGGAGGAGCCGAGUGACAAGCACCGACGAGAUCAAGCAUGCAUUGUUCACGAGUGCAGGCUAUGGAGGAAGGUGUCUCUAGAUCGAUGGAGCACGCCAAUUCAUCAAUCAUGUAGCAGAACAAGCUGCUUGUAAUUUGGUAAUUAAUCAUCCGUGAGAUUUGUGUUUGCAUAUAUUUGCUUGAUUUGUUUUGAAAUAUAUCUGCAUGAAUCAAGCAUAUGUAGUGUUUAUGUUAGAUUUUUGAAUAGUAGUACUAUCUAAAGUUCAAAUGCUUGUGACAAGAUUGUAAUAGUUGGGUGUGUGUCCGUGAGUGUAAUGCAUGUGGAGUGGAGUAUUGGGAUUUGGCCGACAUGAAAAGA
This is a long non-coding RNA of Triticum aestivum (bread wheat), 446 nucleotides long. RefSeq lists it as uncharacterized. Lineage: Eukaryota; Viridiplantae; Streptophyta; Magnoliopsida; Poales; Poaceae. The record is from RefSeq and is a predicted model, not a curated record. The transcript is spliced from 2 exons.